UACGAAGGGGGCUAGCGUUGUUCGGAAUUACUGGGCGUAAAGCGCGCGUAGGCGGACCUGCAAGUCGGAGGUGAAAGCCCGAGGCUCAACCUCGGAACUGCCUUCGAUACUGCGGGUCUCGAGUCCGGGAGAGGUGAGUGGAAUUCCUAGUGUAGAGGUGAAAUUCGUAGAUAUUAGGAAGAACACCAGUGGCGAAGGCGGCUCACUGGCCCGGUACUGACGCUGAGGCGCGAAAGCGUGGGGAGCAAACAGG
Molecule: ribosomal RNA, 253 nt
Filed under: uncultured bacterium
Lineage: Bacteria
Description: partial 16S ribosomal RNA
Rfam family: Bacterial small subunit ribosomal RNA
Source: RNAcentral